This is a non-coding RNA of Capsicum annuum, 107 nucleotides long. NCBI's taxonomy places the organism in Eukaryota, Viridiplantae, Streptophyta, Magnoliopsida, Solanales, Solanaceae. The record is from Rfam.
UAAUGAUGGUGAAGGCAAUUUCUAAGCAUUCCCUUAAAUCUGUCCCAAGCUCAAUAAAGAUUUUCUAUUUUUUUCUACCUAAAACUCAGAAUCUCACUUCACAAGCG